Molecule: transfer RNA, 76 nt
Filed under: Ixodes scapularis (black-legged tick)
Lineage: Eukaryota; Metazoa; Arthropoda; Arachnida; Ixodida; Ixodidae
Description: tRNA-Ser
Rfam family: tRNA
About the family: Transfer RNA (tRNA) molecules are approximately 80 nucleotides in length. Their secondary structure includes four short double-helical elements and three loops (D, anti-codon, and T loops).
Source: RNAcentral
AGCUGAUGAGCUCAGUUGGUAGUAGAGCGCUCCACUGGAUAUGGAGAGGUCCCUGGUUCGAUACCAGGACCAGGCG